CUGCUUGCUUACGGUUUCGUUCGGGCAACCGAGCGGGGCCGGGCACGCUACCCUUGCUUAUGUAUACCUGUUGUUAUUCCCUCGGCGGGGAAACUCGCCGCUGGGAUCACAUAAACCCUUUUGUAUGAAGCAUCAAACCUUCUGAAAACAACUAAAUAAUCA
This 162-nucleotide unclassified non-coding RNA is filed under the name uncultured fungus. Its description in RNAcentral is "sequence contains ITS1". The record is from RNAcentral. Lineage: Eukaryota; Fungi.